RNAcentral lists this unclassified non-coding RNA (213 nucleotides) under plant metagenome. Its description in RNAcentral is "partial contains small subunit ribosomal RNA, internal transcribed spacer 1, and 5.8S ribosomal RNA". The record is from RNAcentral.
UUUCCGUAGGUGAACCUGCGGAAGGAUCAUUCAUAAUAAGUGUUUUAUGGCACUUUUUUAAAUCCAUAUCCACCUUGUGUGCAAUGUCAGGGUUGAUUUUUCUUUCGAGAGGAUCAGCCCCAAACAUCAACUAUAUCUCAACUCUUCGUCUGAAAAAUAUUAUGAAUAAAACAAUUCAAAAUACAACUUUCAACAACGGAUCUCUUGGCUCUC